UGCCCCAGCCGGGAGCGGGCACCAGUCCCGCCUGCCCGCGCUGGGACUCGCCCUGAGAGGCGUUUCCUGGGGGCGGCGGCCUCUUCCCCCGCCCUUGGCCGGUGCUAUCGCACCUGAGGCGGGCGGCUCUGGCGGUGCAAGCUCCGAUCAGGCGACCAGCCUCCCUCGGGGAGGGGGAAGCGGAGGCGCCGCUCGCAAAAUUGUAGCCGGGAAAGCAGCAGCAGCAGCGGCGGCAGCGCUUGGGAACUUUUCUACGGGGUGUUCGCAACUUGUCUGAAAUUCGGCUGGGGCUCGGGGGCGGGUGGGCUCCUCGGAUCCCCCUCUCUGGUCUGGGCUGCCGGUGGCCCGGGCUGCUUCAUUGCAGCCCCGCCGAGCAGAGCAGCGAGGGCGAACCCCAGAGGUAGGAGCAACCUGUCUGCUGGGUCUCACCUGUUGUGUUUUGGUUCCAGCCUGCCCCACGCUGUAACAAACUACGCGCCAGUGCUACUGAACAGGACGCAGCUGGAGUGAGAUCUGCAGCGACUGUUCCUCCAGAAGUACUGAAGAUAGGAUCCAGCUGCUGAGUGUGCAACUUCAGGAAUAACCUUUUUCCCACUCCAAACUACUAGCCACAGCAACUUGCUAUUUCACAUUACCAUAUGAAAAUCGCAUCCACUUCAUUGUGGAUACUUCUGUCACAGAUCAUAGAUGCAGAGAAUCUUCUCCUAAUGGCCAAGCAGUGUGGUGUUCCCUGGUUGAAUGUGCAUCUUACAUAAAUUAUAAUGGAUGCUGAAAUAGGAAGAAUUGGGCCCAACAAGGUCUGAUCCUGCAUCAUGGCUGCAUGCUGACCCAGCUGCUUGGUAUUUGAAAAGAGAAAGUACAAAUGAAGAAGGACUUAGCAAACUCAUCACCUAACAAGCAUCUGUAAAGAAGUUGUUCCACGACGCUUUCUGUUGGACCUGGCCGAUGAUCCUGA
Gopherus flavomarginatus (Mexican gopher tortoise) is the source of this 955-nucleotide long non-coding RNA. RefSeq lists it as uncharacterized. The record is from RefSeq and is a predicted model, not a curated record. The transcript is spliced from 4 exons. NCBI's taxonomy places the organism in Eukaryota, Metazoa, Chordata, Testudines, Testudinidae.